GGUUCUUAUUGACUGAUACCAUAGAGUCACUCUUGCCUUGGUGGUAGUUUGCAUAAUUGUAGUUAAGGAGCUUCAGCUGCAGUACUGCUCCUCUGAAAUCAUUAUGAGAGUAAGUUUAUGCUCCCUCCAGAGAGUCAUGAUUGGGUACUAAAGUCUUACAACCACAAAUGGAAAGAAUAUGAGAGGAAGUUGAAGGACUAUAAGAAGAAGGGUAGGAAAGAGGAGGAGGUUGCUCGUACUUGUCCUUUCGAUGUACACCCUCAUCAAUGGAGGGAGCUUGUGCGCAACUGAUUUUCUAAAAGAGGACAGAUAUACACUGAUGUUGGUAAAGCUGCAUGAUCCUCUCAGUCGGUGCCUUACACAUCGGGCUUCAUGAGAUGGAAGAGCAUGGAAGGGAGUUUGGUGAGGUUGAAUUUUAUAGGAUGACUUAUACUUAUCGAGAUGACAGCUUUGUAUGAGAGGAGUCUAGAGAUCUUAUUAUAUAUAUUGAUUCAAUCAUUAAAUGAUUUGUAAUAUCAUUUUUUUUAUCAUUAAUAUGCGGGUCUUUUCUUGAAUAUAUAGGAUAGGACAACAAUUCUUAGUGCAGAGCAUGUAGGCAAGUCAUUGUCAUCAUCAUCUAUGAAGAGCAGUUGCGUUGAGGCUCAGAUUUUCACUAAGCUUAUAGGACCGAAGCGUUAUAGUCGAGUGAAGGAUUAUCAAGUUCGAGUCACCUCCACUCGGUUGUCUGCAGUGAGUAGAAAUAUCUGAGACGCUAGACAGAGUAGCAGUAUUGCAGAGGUUUGUAGGUUGGAGACAGAAUUAUAGGAGAUGUGGCAGAGAUUUGACCUACAUAUAGAGGAGCUGAGGUAGAGAUUUGACGUAUAGAUAGAGGAGCAAAGGCAGAGAUUUGACCUAUAGAUAGAAGAGCUGAGGCAAAGCUAUCAGACAGAGAUACUGUCAUUAAAGACUCAGCUUGAUCAAUUACAUCCUUUUUAAGGGAUUUUGCCCCGCAUCAGGCUCUCGAUACUUUCAACAGUUGCAGAGAUGAUAAUGAUGCUAUCAUGGAUAACAUCUUCUGAUAUGCUGAACAAGAACUGAGGCAAUGAAGCAAUGCAAGGAAGAAGCAUCCGUGGCUCUCCAAGUGAUUCUUUUCUUGAGAUGUGCUUGCAGCAAGAAGCAUCAGUGGACUCUCCCUUUGCAGCUGGAACAUCAAGCGAUGACUCCCCCCCACCCUUGCGUUGAAGCAUUAUCCAUGACAUAAUUACCUUAGCAUAGUCUACACUGUUUAUCUGCAGCUUUUGAGCUGUGCCAGCAUCCUUCUGUAUUAGAUAGCAAAUAGAAUCGGCAGUCGGCAUAAGGGAUUUUUCAUCAGAAACGGAUGAAAUCAGGGAACCACAGAGAAGGUAUUAGGUAAUAUUUUCCAGCAUGUCUUUAGUCGGUGGACUGUCACAAGAUACUAGUGGAUUGCCUGAAUUAGUCUUUAGAUGUACAAUGUCCUACAUGGUUCACCAAAUCACUCGUGGGCAUUGAUGACCGAAUUCCAGGUACUUUGAAAUGAUCCUACAGUUAAGAAUCCUGAACUCUUCAGUUUCUCCGACACAGUUUUCUUCAUUUGCCGUAGUGUCCAUCAUUGACAGAUGUAAUGAUGAGGAAAACCAACAAAAGGCAGCAAAUAUGUUCUUACAGGUCAAUUUAACAACAGUAAAUAGUUAGUGGUGCAAAAAGAAGGCUUCAGCAUUUGCAAACUUGGAUGACUGGUGACAUUGUAAUUAUAACAAUCGAGCCAAAUCCAUCUCUACAAACUGAUGAAACUAUUGCAGGAAACUAGCAAUUCCAAAAGAAAAAUAAAAAUCUCCUUCAACAUUCGUAUGAUCACCACAAAUAAUCACCUGUUUCCAAUCCAAUCUUGAUUUAUGCACCUUCUUCCUGCACACAAAUACCUUAUACAUGAGCCCAAAUCAUUUCAGCCACUGCUCCCAGCAAUGUCAGUUUUUCUCUUUUUCUUUUUCGUGAGAAAAAUGGUAGGGGGAGACCUUCCUCACGUUUCGUUGAGAAAUGAAAUGAGUCAUUCAACUGAGGGUUUAAUUUUGUUCCCAGGAUCAAAGUUCACAAAUAUCAAUUUUUUUGUUGGCCACUCUUUUAAAUAUUCUCAGUAGACUGAAAACAAAGAAAAUGGUGGGUAGAACAAACUUACAGCAGUUAGAAGAAGUGCCUGAUGGGAUUUUAAUUCCUCCGUCAACCUCCACCUUCAGAACAGCAAAAGCAUGGAGGAUCUUCAUUUGUUCCUACAUAACCAUAUACUUCAUCAAAGCAACUACUAUGAUAUGAAUGACCACAUGGUAAGACUACGUGCACCAGAACCGCAUGGGAACUGUCUCCUGUCGGCUGGAAUGCUAGGUCCACGUUACAGAGCGGACACUUGCAGCCUAGCGGUUCAGGCACAUCAUCAAUGCGUUCCACUGGAAAAAAAAGAGUUAAAUGUUAAGCACGUUAUAAAAAUUCAUCUUACAGAAUAUAAUUGGCUGCAUAUAUGCUUAGAUAUGGAGAUGGUUAUUGGGCCAUGAUUUACUCAACUGCACCCCCAUGAAAGUGUGGUCAAGCUCCAUGAAUAUUUUCCAGAUUAUCUAAUGACAAUGAUGGAAUAGACCGAACAUGCGCAUGUUAUAAAGUGGCUCCUGAUAUACCCCUUACAUAAAUGUGUUAGAACAUCUAAUAGACUAUCG
Elaeis guineensis (African oil palm) is the source of this 2702-nucleotide long non-coding RNA. RefSeq lists it as uncharacterized. Lineage: Eukaryota; Viridiplantae; Streptophyta; Magnoliopsida; Arecales; Arecaceae. The record is from RefSeq and is a predicted model, not a curated record.